Molecule: long non-coding RNA, 1535 nt
Filed under: Nicotiana benthamiana
Lineage: Eukaryota; Viridiplantae; Streptophyta; Magnoliopsida; Solanales; Solanaceae
Description: long non-coding RNA (NBEN_LNC039793)
Source: RNAcentral
UUUUCACAAGUAAGAUUCUCUCAAUUUUUUCUAUUUCUUUCUCUUUUUCUUUUUCCUUCUUAUGUGAGCAACUUGAUAGUAUUCUUUGUCGUGUGACAACUAUUGUUCAUUGCAUGUUUCUCUUGGCAUUCUUGAUGGCAUAUCGACAGGUCUUUAUUUGGAAGAAUUUUGGACAUGAUUAGAAAGAAAGGACGUCAUGAAAGCUCAAAAUAGACUCAAAGUAAAGGGGGUUGUAGACUUACAACUUUUGGAAUCGACUCUUUCAAAAGUGAAAUAAAAUAUUUGCCCCAGAUUCACCUAUUGGGGAUUAUUUUUUUGGGAUUUUUCCUUUUUUUCCUCUUUUCUGAAUUCUUAUUUGGUUGUACCAAACCGUGAGACUGUCUACGUAUCCUUUUUUAAGGAAUCAGGUCGAACGUAGUUCAAACAUCUAACCUAAUUAUUUUUCAUCUUUCUUUUUGUUUUUUAUUUUCUUUUUUUUAUUUCAAAAGAAAUUGCCCCAGCUUCUAUUUUCUGGGGGCAUGGAUCUUUGACUGUUCUUUUCUUCUUCUCCUUUUCACUUGAACUUUCUGAUAAUUGCCCCAGUUUUUACUCUUGGGACAUGGGCUCUUCUUUUUUUUUCAUCAUUUUUUAUUUUUGUUUUUUAUUGGACUUUUAACUCUAAACUUGAUUCCAAAAAAGGGUGGUCAAAGAAAAUAACACAUGCUAAAAGGGUAUAAAGUGUUUGGGUAGCAGAAAAAGGGCCUUCCAACCUCGAGAACGCCAAACAUAUUAUCCUUUUGCAAUCACAACAUUGAUGAAUAUGCUUGUAUUCUUGGUGUGUCGUGGUCACAAGAUACUUUUCAUCCAUUAAUGUCAAACUUUCCAACAAUCUUCAAUUGAUUUUUCCUCAAGCUCGAUCUUCACAAUGAUUCGACGGUGACUUUUACUACCUUAAUUCCCAAGUAUUCCAACUCUUUAUUCUUCCCCAAAAGUAUUUUUUUCUUUUUUAAAUUAUCCAAUUUCAGAUUAAAUUAGUUUCUAAGAUCUGGCCAAAAUUUUCGCAUGCAUAUCAUGUCAUUAGAACUAGCGAGAAAUGAACUAGAAAUAGAAUGACACAAAAGGACAAUCUGUAUUUUAUUGAAUAAGGAUGGAAGUGUCCUAUAACGAAAAUGAAAAAAAAGCUAUCAUGGCUAAAUGAGGAGUGACUUUCCAAUUACUAAUUAACAUCUUAGCCACACGUUCGCACAUUAGCAUUACUACGAAUUUAACCAUUUUGAUGGAUUCAGAUUCAACACUCAAAUUUUGAUGAUCAUCCCAAGCAGCCCAUGACCCAUUGCUCAAAUCUGGUAAAGCAACCCCACAUUCGCCUCCAUUUUUAAUUUUUCACCGGCAACUUGCCUACUUGCCUUUUCAUGACCCUGGAUCAACAACAAUGGUGCUAAUUCCAUUGGUUGAGAAGAUGCUUUUAUUUUCGAGAGAUCUUGGAUUGUUCUUGUGACUCACCAUUGCAAACCAACAAACCGACCACCUUUGGCUAGUUUUUAUUUCAAAAUAAU